UACAGAGGGUGCAAGCGUUGUUCGGAAUUACUGGGCGUAAAGGGCGAGUAGGCGGCCUGGUAAGUCAGAUGUGAAAUCCCGGGGCUCAACUCCGGAAGUGCAUUUGAAACUACCUGGCUAGAGUGCAGUAGAGGUUGGUGGAAUACCUAGUGUAGAGGUGAAAUUCGUAGAUAUUAGGUGGAACACCGGUGGCUAAGGCGGCCAACUGGACUGCGACUGACGCUGAGGCGCGAAAGCGUGGGGAUCAAACAGG
This 253-nucleotide ribosomal RNA is filed under the name uncultured bacterium. Its description in RNAcentral is "partial 16S ribosomal RNA". It matches the Rfam family "Bacterial small subunit ribosomal RNA", at positions 524 to 776 of the family's 1533-position model. The record is from RNAcentral.